This 448-nucleotide ribosomal RNA is filed under the name uncultured bacterium. RNAcentral describes it as "bacterial SSU rRNA". It matches the Rfam family "Bacterial small subunit ribosomal RNA", at positions 29 to 524 of the family's 1533-position model. The record is from RNAcentral.
AACGAACGCUGGCGGCAGGCCUAACACAUGCAAGUCGAACGCUCCAGCAAUGGAGAGUGGCAGACGGGUGAGUAACGCGUGGGAACCUUCCCUAUGGUUCGGAAUAGCUCAGGGAAACUUGAGGUAAUACCGGAUAAGCCCUUCGGGGGAAAGGAUUUAUCGCCAUUGGAUGGGCCCGCGUAGGAUUAGCUAGUUGGUGAGGUAACGGCUCACCAAGGCGACGAUCCUUAGCUGGUCUGAGAGGAUGAUCAGCCACACUGGGACUGAGACACGGCCCAGACUCCUACGGGAGGCAGCAGUGGGGAAUAUUGGACAAUGGGCGCAAGCCUGAUCCAGCCAUGCCGCGUGAGUGACGAAGGCCUUAGGGUUGUAAAGCUCUUUUGGCGGGAAGAUAAUGACGGUACCGCAGAAUAAGCUCCGCUAACUUCGUGCCAGCCGCCGCAGUAAG